UUGGGGUUGCGGACAUAUCAUAACGAAGAGGUAUCGUAAUUGAAGAGGUUUGGAAAGACCCACCACAGAAGGUAAUAGUCCUGUAUGUUAAACGAGAAGACUUUAGAUAUGAUCCAGAGUACCACGGGACACGUGAAACCCUGUGGGAAGCAGGAGGGACCACCCUCCAAGGCUAAAUACUACCUAGUGACCGAUAGCGUAUAGUACCGUGAGGGAAAGGUGAAAAGAACCCCGGGAGGGGAGGGAAAUAGAACCUGAAACCCUGCACUUACAAGCUGUGGAAGCACAUUUCUUGUGUGACCGCGUACUUUUUGUAGAACGGGCCAACGAGUUACGUUAAGUAGCAAGGUUAAGCACUUAAGGUGCGGAGC
This 371-nucleotide ribosomal RNA is filed under the name Clostridioides difficile. RNAcentral's name for it is "bacterial LSU rRNA". It matches the Rfam family "Bacterial large subunit ribosomal RNA", at positions 292 to 666 of the family's 2925-position model. Lineage: Bacteria; Bacillati; Bacillota; Clostridia; Peptostreptococcales; Peptostreptococcaceae. The record is from RNAcentral.